RNAcentral lists this ribosomal RNA (253 nucleotides) under uncultured bacterium. RNAcentral's name for it is "partial 16S ribosomal RNA". It matches the Rfam family "Bacterial small subunit ribosomal RNA", at positions 524 to 776 of the family's 1533-position model. The record is from RNAcentral.
UACAGAGGGGGCAAGCGUUGUUCGGAAUUACUGGGCGUAAAGGGCGCGUAGGCGGCCUUCUAAGUCGAACGUGAAAUCCCCGGGCUCAACCCGGGAACUGCGUCCGAUACUGGAAGGCUUGAAUCCGGGAGAGGGAUGUGGAAUUCCAGGUGUAGCGGUGAAAUGCGUAGAGAUCUGGAGGAACACCGAUGGCGAAGGCAGCCUUCUGGGCCAACACUGACGCUCAUGCACGAAAGCGUGGGGAGCAAACAGG